UGAGUGUCAAUACAUGCGUUUGAAUCUCUCCGACCCGAGCACCACAACCCCUAAAUCUUGAGUCCACAUUGAAUAGACUUUGCUCCUUAAUUUAAAGUGCCCGAUUGGUUAAGCUCUGUAGUUCCUUAUUCAUUAGAUAUUGAAAUUCUCAAUAAGAUCUGUUGUUCCUACAUUGGCUAGUAAUGGCUCCACAUUAAUAGGGCGGAUUUAGG
This 212-nucleotide long non-coding RNA is filed under the name Capsicum annuum. Its description in RNAcentral is "long non-coding RNA (CANN_LNC005018)". Lineage: Eukaryota; Viridiplantae; Streptophyta; Magnoliopsida; Solanales; Solanaceae. The record is from RNAcentral.